Molecule: transfer RNA, 67 nt
Filed under: Chrysolina herbacea
Lineage: Eukaryota; Metazoa; Arthropoda; Insecta; Coleoptera; Chrysomelidae
Description: tRNA-Ser
Source: RNAcentral
GAAAUAUGACAAUCAAGUACAAGCUUCUAACUUAAUACUUAAGCGAUGAAAUUUCGUUUAUAUUUCU